GGGUCUAAUACCGGAUAGGAGCGUCCACCGCAUGGUGGGUGUUGGAAAGAUUUAUCGGUUUUGGAUGGACUCGCGGCCUAUCAGCUUGUUGGUGAGGUAAUGGCUCACCAAGGCGACGACGGGUAGCCGGCCUGAGAGGGUGACCGGCCACACUGGGACUGAGACACGGCCCAGACUCCUACGGGAGGCAGCAGUGGGGAAUAUUGCACAAUGGGCGCAAGCCUGAUGCAGCGACGCCGCGUGAGGGAUGACGGCCUUCGGGUUGUAAACCUCUUUCAGUAGGGAAGAAGCGAAAGUGACGGUACCUGCAGAAGAAGCACCGGCUAACUACGUGCCAGCAGCCGCGGUAAUACGUAGGGUGCGAGCGUUAUCCGGAAUUAUUGGGCGUAAAGAGCUCGUAGGCGGUUUGUCGCGUCUGUCGUGAAAGUCCGGGGCUUAACCCCGGAUCUGCGGUGGGUACGGGCAGACUAGAGUGCAGUAGGGGAGACUGGAAUUCCUGGUGUAGCGGUGGAAUGCGCAGAUAUCAGGAGGAACACCGAUGGCGAAGGCAGGUCUCUGGGCUGUAACUGACGCUGAGGAGCGAAAGCAUGGGGAGCGAACAGGAUUAGAUACCCUGGUAGUCCAUGCCGUAAACGUUGGGCACUAGGUGUGGGGACCAUUCCACGGUUUCCGCGCCGCAGCUAACGCAUUAAGUGCCCCGCCUGGGGAGUACGGCCGCAAGGCUAAAACUCAAAGGAAUUGACGGGGGCCCGCACAAGCGGCGGAGCAUGCGGAUUAAUUCGAUGCAACGCGAAGAACCUUACCAAGGCUUGACAUGUUCUCGAUCGCCGUAGAGAUACGGUUUCCCCUUUGGGGCGGGUUCACAGGUGGUGCAUGGUUGUCGUCAGCUCGUGUCGUGAGAUGUUGGGUUAAGUCCCGCAACGAGCGCAACCCUCGUUCCAUGUUGCCAGCACGUCGUGGUGGGGACUCAUGGGAGACUGCCGGGGUCAACUCGGAGGAAGGUGAGGACGACGUCAAAUCAUCAUGCCCCUUAUGUCUUGGGCUUCACGCAUGCUACAAUGGCCGGUACAAUGGGUUGCGAUACUGUGAGGUGGAGCUAAUCCCAAAAAGCCGGUCUCAGUUCGGAUUG
The sequence is a ribosomal RNA, 1129 nucleotides long. It matches the Rfam family "Bacterial small subunit ribosomal RNA", at positions 159 to 1300 of the family's 1533-position model.